RNAcentral lists this small RNA (2712 nucleotides) under Pan troglodytes (chimpanzee). RNAcentral describes it as "retained intron". The record is from RNAcentral. Lineage: Eukaryota; Metazoa; Chordata; Mammalia; Primates; Hominidae.
UGUUUUCUCCUAGAUACCAGCGGGCAAGCAGAAAACAAGAGGCUCAAGAGGGGCAGCCCCCGCAUAGAGGAGAUGCGAUCUCUGCGCUCCGCCAGGGCCCCGAGCCCUUCAGAGGCCGCCCCGCGCCGCCCGGAGGCCACCGCGGCCCCCCUCACUCCUAGAGGAAGGGAGGACCGCGAGGCUCACGGCAGGGCCCUGGCGCCGGGCAGGGCGAGCCUCAGGAGCCGCCUGGAGGUAACUGGGCGAGGGCCGCGCAGGGAAGGGCUCAGCAGGAGGUGCAGGCCACGGGCCGCUGCUGAGAGGUCCUCACCCCGGGCCCCCUUGUUCCCGCAGGACGUGCUGUGGCUGCAGGAGGUCUCCAACCUGUCAGAGUGGCUGAGUCCCAGCCCUGGGCCCUGAGCCGGGUCCCCUUCCGCAAGCGCCCACCGAUCCGGAGGCUGCGGGCAGCCGUUAUCCCGUGGUUUAAUAAAGCUGCCCCGCGCUCACCAAGUCCUCUUCCGCGUCUGCUUCCGCGUCGGGCCCGGGCGGGGCGGGGCGUGGAGCCGCACCGCGGCCUGACGUCACCCACACCUCCCUGGGACUGCGUCACUGGUGCGCGCCGCGGGUCAGGGCGCAAUGGCGGCGCUGGGCGGGGAUGGGCUGCGACUGCUGUCGGUGUCGCGGCCGGAGCGGCCGCCCGAGUCGGCGGCGCUGGGGGGCCCGGGCCCCGGGCUGUGCUGCUGGGUGUCAGUGUUCUCCUGCCUCAGCCUCGCCUGCUCCUACGUGGGCAGCCUCUACGUCUGGAAGAGCGAACUGCCCAGGUGCGGGGGCUGCGCGCGGCCGGAAUCCGCGCCCUGCGGGCGGAGCUUGGGCGAGCCGGGGGCGGGUCCGUGCUCAUGGGCAGCCGCGGGCCCCCUGAACUUACUGUCCCCUCCGUAGGGACCAUCCCGCCGUCAUCAAGCGACGCUUCACCAGCGUCCUGGUGGUGUCCAGUCUCUCACCUCUGUGCGUGCUGCUCUGGAGGGAACUCACAGGCAUCCAGCCAGGCACAUCCCUGCUCACCCUGAUGGGCUUCAGGCUGGAGGGCAUUUUCCCAGCGGCGCUGCUGCCCCUGUUGCUGACCAUGAUUCUUUUCCUGGGCCCACUGAUGCAGCUCUCUAUGGAUUGCCCUUGUGACCUGGCAGAUGGGCUGAAGGUUGUCCUGGCCCCCCGCUCCUGGGCCCGCUGCCUCACAGACAUGCGUUGGCUGCGGAACCAAGUGAUCGCCCCGCUGACAGAGGAGCUGGUGUUCCGGGCCUGUAUGCUGCCCAUGUUAGCACCGUGCAUGGGCCUGGGCCCUGCUGUGUUCACCUGCCCGCUCUUUUUUGGAGUUGCCCAUUUUCACCAUAUUAUUGAGCAGCUGCGUUUCCGCCAGAGCAGCGUGGGGAACAUCUUCUUGUCUGCUGGUGAGUCCUGGCUAGCUGGCCUGGGUUAGGGUGUAUGAUGAUGUCGCUAAUGGCCACUCUGGAGAAGGAAUUGGGAACUGAGGGCCACGGUAUUGGAGAGGCCACUGACCGUGGGAGUUGGGGUGCAGGACAGCUGUAGGUGGUGGGGCAGGCAGCUACUGCCCCGGGGGGAGGGGAUGGUCGGUCUUUGGCUGAUGGGUAUGUAGUGCGGGGGCAGGAAGGGCGUGCAGGUGUGGUCACUCGCGGCCUCCCCGUCUCCAGCGUUCCAGUUCUCCUACACAGCUGUCUUCGGUGCCUACACUGCUUUCCUCUUCAUCCGCACAGGUUGGUCCUCAGUCCCUCAUGGGUCCCUGGGGGCCCACAGGAGCGGGUGGGAGAAUGGGAAUACUGUUUGUUCUAGGAACAAAAGUUCUUCUACUCCAGUCCUUGAGACAGGCUGAGCCAGGGCCCUCAGCCUGGUGAGGUCUGAGAGGUGGAAAGGAGCAGAGGCCGUGGUGUGUGGGUGGAUGGCUGGGGUAGUGGGAUCUUGAUCUCCUGUUUCAGGGGAUGAGGGUCACUAGCCCUGGAAGGGCCAGAGGAGGUGGUAGGGCUGCUCCCUGAGCUGCUGUCUCUUUUCCCCAGGACACCUGAUUGGGCCGGUUCUCUGCCAUUCCUUCUGCAAUUACAUGGGUUUCCCAGCUGUUUGCGCGGCCUUGGAGCACCCGCAGAGGCGGCCCCUGCUGGCAGGCUAUGCCCUGGGUGUGGGACUCUUCCUGCUUCUGCUCCAGCCCCUCACGGACCCCAAGCUCUACGGCAGCCUUCCCCUUUGUGUGCUUUUGGAGCGGGCAGGGGACUCAGAGGCUCCCCUGUGCUCCUGACCUAUGCUCCUGGAUACACUAUGAACUCUCACCGGCUCCCCAGCCCUCCCCACCAAGGGGUACUGCAGGGGAAGGGCUGGCUGGGGUCCCCGAGAUCUCAGGAAUUUUUGUAGGGGAUUGAAGCCAGAGCUAGUUGCAUCCCAGGGACCAAGAGAAAGAAGCAGAUAUCCAAAGGGUGCAGCCCCUUUUGAAAGGGGUGUUUACGAGCAGCUGUGAGUGAGGGGACAAGGGGCAGGUCCCAGGAGCCACACACUCCCUUCCUCACUUUGGACUGCUGCUUCUCUUAGCUCCUCUGCCUCUGAAAAGCUGCUCGGGGUUUUUUAUUUAUAAAACCUCUCCCCACCCCCCACCCCCCAACUUCCUGGGUUUUCUCAUUGUCUUUUUGCAUCAAUACUUUGUAUUGGGAUAUUAAAGAGAUUUAACUUGGGUAA